GGGACACACCUGCAGCCCAGCGGACAGCCCACCAGCCUCCAAACAGUUCUGCGAAAAAUUAGGCUAUCUUUCAUUAGCUAUCUAUCAUGCGGCCUCCACCAGGCUGCAGGAUAUGAGGGCCAUUUAAUUAGGCCCUGCACCACUCUCGGGUGUGAAAAGGCUCUCAAACGCUUUGAUUCCCCGCUGCUUCGCAGCAGGAAGUUGUUGGCGAUAAUUGACAUAGGAUUUCCUUGUUAACCAGCAGCAGACACGCCGGAUUAAAGCGACAGAGAUCUCGAGAAGAAAGUGAAAGAGAUAAGAAGCUCGGAAGACUUCUGCUUAUUUGGCACUUGAGGAUGGCAGGAAACAGCAAUAACCUACUCAAGUGGCGACUCUAGAGUGGAAGGGCGUCCCCUUAUCAGACCUAUUUCAGCUUGGCUGAUCAAAGAUUGACUCCCCGCAAAAUCACAUAGGCCUGGGGUUUGUUAGUUUAUUAAGCAGCAGGUUUUAGGAAUUAUCACAGGUUUAAAGAUGGAUUGCAGUUUAUGUGAAGGGGGAGAGGAUUAUCGGGUUUUCAUCUUAACAAUUAUAAAAUAUCACAGCUGAAAGCUUGCUUGCAAAUGACAUAAUUUUCCACUGCCAACUAAACAGGUCAUUGUGAGGCUGCCUGUGAGCGCACUCAACGAGGGAGGAAAUACAGGCAAAUUAACUCUGGGGAGGACCGGGGAUGAGGGGCCUCCACGCCUUGUUCCACUUCGGAAGACGGUGCGAUCUCAUUUUGCCCUGUGCGAUUCCUUAGUUUUACUCAUCUGAAGGGCUGAAGAGUAACCAGUCUCCUGUCCCCUGAUCCUGCUGAUGGAAGAGACUUAGAAAUCAUUUCAUCAGCCAGGGCUGCUUUGCCCAGAGAAACAUCUGUCCAAGAAGGCAGACAAACCAGGGGAGUAUCAGUAACUGAAAUGAAAUAUAGCAAGGACAUCACCUUCUCGAUCUGUUCCUGGACUGUGCCUUGGGAAGGAUUGUCCCUGGACCUCUUGUAAUUUAGAGUAGAGAAAUCAGAGUCAAAAGGGCCUUGUUGUAAAUAGUUUUCUCGUUACCGUCUUGGAAAAUUUCCAGCAAAGUUCUGGGAAAAUAACAUGAUGCCCUGAUGCUAGUAAUAUAGUCUGACUCGCAAUUCCACCUUCCAUGGGACUGUACACAUAAAUGAAAACAAAUUUCUAAGCUUGAGUUUAAGACUGUAUCUAUAAAGAAUAUCCACAGAGAAGGUCAGGGAGUUCUUUCUAAAUACAGUAAUCAACUCUGCUUUUUCAAAUAAGGAAGAGUUUGUACUUCCAAUCUUCUACGGAGAAGAACUGCAAUGCUCAAACUCUUUUAAGUUUCCUUUGAGGCCUAACAAAACAAGAAGAUACUCAGCUAGAAGAUUCCUCUGUGAGGCUGCUAGUACUUCUCCAGCAGACCAAGCCAGGAGAGCUUUCUCAAAGAUUCUACCAGAUUUUCCAGGGGUUCUCAAAGAUUGUCUGCAAACCAGCUCUGAUAAAUGAUUGCAGCUUCUUGAGUCUAUAGAGAGAGACCUUUAUGCUCUCUCUACUAGGAAGUAAUGCUUUUUUCCCUGAGAUUAUGUUCUUUUUAAAAUUUUUAUGUGCUUUUAAAAUCUCAUGUGUGUAUUAACAUGUCCUUUCUUUAUAGAAUGUUGAAGACAAUAUAUAAAUUUCUGAAAAGAUUUGAAUGAUUUGAUUUGGCAAAAUAAAGAAUUGCCAAUCCUACAUAGAGCUCCAUACACCAAUUUUUAAAAAUAAUUUUAUUGCUUCACAAAAUCUGGGAACCACUGGAUAUAUGAAGUAUCUCUUUUAGCUAAAGCAAAGUCAACUCUCACCCUCGAAAAAAGUUCAUUUUUUGAUCUGUUUUUAUUUUUCUGUGGCAAAAAGUGCUUUUGUGAUGCCUCUAUGAAUAAAAGACUCAUUUUCCUAA
Long non-coding RNA from Homo sapiens (human), 1944 nucleotides. NCBI's taxonomy places the organism in Eukaryota, Metazoa, Chordata, Mammalia, Primates, Hominidae. The record is from Ensembl.